CCCUUAGAUGUUCUGGGCCGCACGCGCGCUACACUGAUGCAUACAACGAGUCUAAAACCUGCUCUGAUAGGGGUGGGUAAUCUUUUGAAUGUGCAUCGUGAUUGGGAUAGAUGAUUGCAAUUUUUCAUCUUCAACGAGGAAUGCCUAGUAAACGCAAGUCAUCAGCUUGCAUUGAUUACGUCCCUGCCCUUUGUACACACCGCCCGUCGCUCCUACCGAUUGAAUGAUCCGAUGAAUAUCAUGGAUUGAGGAUUAUAGCAGGUUCGCCUGUCUUGAUCUUCGAGAAGUGAAGUAAAUCUUAUCAUUUAGAGGAAGGAGAAGUCGUAACA
RNAcentral lists this ribosomal RNA (329 nucleotides) under uncultured eukaryote. RNAcentral describes it as "partial 18S ribosomal RNA". It matches the Rfam family "Eukaryotic small subunit ribosomal RNA", at positions 1470 to 1796 of the family's 1831-position model. The record is from RNAcentral.